UACGGAGGAUCCAAGCGUUAUCCGGAUUUAUUGGGUUUACAGGGUGCGUAGGCAGCUUAUUAAGUCAGGGGUGAAAGACGGUGGCUCAACCAUCGCAGUGCCUUUGAUACUGAUGAGCUUGAAUGAACUAGAGGUAGGCGGAAUGUGACAAGUAGCGGUGAAAUGCUUAGAUAUGACAUAGAACACCAAUUGCGAAGGCAGCUUACUAAAGUAUGAUUGACGCUGAGGCACGAAAGCGUGGGGAUCAAACAGG
Molecule: ribosomal RNA, 253 nt
Filed under: uncultured bacterium
Lineage: Bacteria
Description: partial 16S ribosomal RNA
Rfam family: Bacterial small subunit ribosomal RNA
Source: RNAcentral